Molecule: ribosomal RNA, 422 nt
Filed under: uncultured prokaryote
Description: bacterial SSU rRNA
Rfam family: Bacterial small subunit ribosomal RNA
Source: RNAcentral
UGAGGAAUAUUGGUCAAUGGGCGCAAGCCUGAACCAGCCAUCCCGCGUGCAGGAUGACGGCCCUAUGGGUUGUAAACUGCUUUUAUACAGGAAGAAAAAUCUCUACGAGUAGGGACUUGCCGGUACUGUAUGAAUAAGCAUCGGCUAACUCCGUGCCAGCAGCCGCGGUAAUACGGAGGAUGCAAGCGUUAUCCGGAUUCAUUGGGUUUAAAGGGUGCGUAGGCGGCUCUUUAAGUCAGUGGUGAAAUCCUGUCGCUCAACGGUAGAAGUGCCAUUGAUACUGAAGAGCUUGAGUUCAGUUGAGGUAAGCGGAAUGUGUAGUGUAGCGGUGAAAUGCUUAGAUAUUACACAGAACACCGAUUGCGAAGGCAGCUUACUAAACUGACACUGACGCUGAUGCACGAAAGCGUGGGGAUCGAACA